UGAAAAGAAAAAAGAUCAUUGUGUAAAGCGUAUUAGAAAUUUGAAUGAGCACUACAACAAAUUUCGUAACGAUUUAAGUUUUGAAGGGGAUCCUAUAAAGUAAUAGGGUGGGGCGGGGCAAGAUGGGUCGCGGGGUAAGAUGGGUCAGUGCCAUUUUUGGGCGCAUUACUUAUGUUUUGAUUAUGUUAAUAAUUUUGUUAGAUGACCAGCAUGAAUAUACAAAAGUUUGGGGCAUUGAUUGAAAAAUUAUUCACUCUCAUUGGAAAUAAAAAAAAUAAAAUGGUUUUUAGCCAUUUUUCUUAUGCGAUACAUUCCAUAUAAUCUCCAUAUAAACGGCCGCGGGGCAAGAUGGGUCACCUUCAAUUUUGAACGUAUUUUUGGAGCAUUCAAAAGAUAAUUAUUUUUCAUUACAAAACUAUCUCAUAAAUGACUUCAAUCAAGCGGAAUGAACGCUCAAAAUUAUAACAUAAAGUUAUGAUAAUUUUUUAGUGAAAACAUCGAUUUUCAAGUCGCCUUAGGACCACUCAAAUCGUAAAGUUUUCUAUAUUCCAAAUAAAUUUAUAAAAUGUUUACUAGUAGCUCUUGUUUACUCAGUAUGGAUAUGGAGCAUAUAUGGAUGCGGAAUAAAUCUUAUAUUUUGACGUUUUUCGUUGAGAAAAUGUGAAUUACUUAAAAGCUGACCCAUCUUGCCCCGCACUUUUUUGAAGGCGCAAAAUCGAUCACUUUUUAAAACUGCUUGUUUAAUAUCAUAUUUUGUAUUUAAUGAACUUUUUAUCGACUUUUAGCAUAGCUAACUUGUGUAUUAAAGAGUAGCGGACGAAUACAAACCAAUACGAUUUGUAUUUACAAAGUUAUGGUGAUCCAUCCUUAGGUGACCCAUCUUGCCCCGCGGCCGUUUAUAUGGAGAUUAUAUGGAAUGUAUCGCAUAAGAAAAAUGGCUAAAAACCA
Long non-coding RNA from Aedes albopictus (Asian tiger mosquito), 948 nucleotides. RefSeq lists it as uncharacterized. The record is from RefSeq and is a predicted model, not a curated record. The transcript is spliced from 2 exons. NCBI's taxonomy places the organism in Eukaryota, Metazoa, Arthropoda, Insecta, Diptera, Culicidae.